Molecule: ribosomal RNA, 404 nt
Filed under: uncultured bacterium
Lineage: Bacteria
Description: bacterial SSU rRNA
Rfam family: Bacterial small subunit ribosomal RNA
Source: RNAcentral
UGGGGAAUUUUGCGCAAUGGGGGAAACCCUGACGCAGCAACGCCGCGUGGAGGAUGAAGUACUUCGGUACGUAAACUCCUUUCGAUCGGGACGAUAAUGACGGUACCGGAAGAAGAAGCCCCGGCUAACUUCGUGCCAGCAGCCGCGGUAAUACGAGGGGGGCAAGCGUUGUUCGGAAUUAUUGGGCGUAAAGGGUGCGUAGGCGGUUUGGUAAGUCUUGUGUGAAAUCUCCGGGCUCAACUCGGAGUCUGCACAGGAAACUGCCGGGCUUGAGUAUGGGAGAGGUGAGUGGAAUUUCCGGUGUAGCGGUGAAAUGCGUAGAUAUCGGAAGGAACACCUGUGGCGAAAGCGGCUCACUGGACCAUAACUGACGCUGAUGCACGAAAGCUAGGGGAGCAAACAGG